Molecule: ribosomal RNA, 1293 nt
Filed under: Triticum aestivum (bread wheat)
Lineage: Eukaryota; Viridiplantae; Streptophyta; Magnoliopsida; Poales; Poaceae
Description: partial small subunit ribosomal RNA
Source: RNAcentral
GGCAAUUUGGUGGAGAGAAUUGGGGAGAGUAUUGUUUGGGGUCCAGAACAAGAGGUAUCUCUGCAACGUUUCGAUAACUAUAAUGGUGAAUAUAUGAGAAUUGAAGAUGGAGAAUCCAUGGUUGCUGAAAUUGAUCAGCAAGAAGGGUGGGCAAGCAAACAAGUAACAUUUUAUGCAGAGCCAAUUGAUCUGCAAACUCAUUCCAGAGUUGGUUAUGUGCCAUCAAAGAUGGCUACACAGGUGGAAGACGAUGAGUGGGUUUCACAAAAGAAGAUGUUGGCAUUGUUGACUGAACCGACUGUAGUAGCUGAAGAUACAGGGAUUGAUGCAGAUGGAGAGGAGGGAACCCAUGGUGCUAGGAAGAUUGUUGUUGACUGGAAUGUAGUAGAGUUGAAUGAAAAAACAUAUUUGGUCAUUACACCAAUAUCUGACAUUGAUAUGGCCAAAAUGUUUGGCAUUCAAGUUGAUGACAAAGAUAAGGAGAAGGAUGACAGUUCUUUGCCUGCUGAUGGUAACACAAGCCCUAGAAAUGCAAAUGAGGAUGAAGAACAACUGAUGAGAGAGGCUGCAGAUGAUGCGGAUGAUGCAGAUGAUAAUGAGCUGGUUUGUUUGUAUGACAAAGAGAACCCAGUUAUUGAGGUGGGAAAGUUGUGGCCAAGCAUGAAGGAGUUUAGGAUGUCUUUCAGGACCUAUGCAGUGAAAAAAGUGUUUGAUGCCAAGACUAUGUGGACUGAUCGAAAGAAAUUUUAUGCUCAGUGCAAAGGUUAUGAUGGUGCUGGAAAUCCUUGCAAAUGGUACUUGUCUGCGAGACUACAACCUGAUGGAAGUACAGUAAAGGUAAAUCAAAUACCACACCAGCAUACAUGUAUGACCACUUCACAGAGAGUUUCAAAGAUGACAUCACAGCUUUGGGUUACAGAGAAGAUUACUCCUAUUUUAGCCAAGACUCCAAACACUACUGCAAAGAGGCUUAAAGUUGACUUGGAGAAGCUGUACCCCAUCCAGCUGCAAUAUACCACAGUGUGGAAAGCAAAACAAAGGGCCAUGAAAUCAUUGUAUGGUGACUGGGCAAAUACAUUUAGGAUGUUGUAUAGUUUUAAAGCAGAGGUGGAGAAGAGGUCACCUGGGAGUGUGGUGGAGAUAGAUACAGAGGUAACAGAGGAUGGCAAGGUUUUUUUCAGCAAGUUUUUUAUGUGUUUGAAGCCUUGCAUAGAUGGAUUCAAAGCAGGUUAUCGUCCAUAUUUGAGCAUAGACUCAUCUUUUUUGACUGGAAAGUGGAAUGGUCAGUUGGCU